RNAcentral lists this ribosomal RNA (499 nucleotides) under uncultured bacterium. RNAcentral's name for it is "partial 16S ribosomal RNA". It matches the Rfam family "Bacterial small subunit ribosomal RNA", at positions 28 to 507 of the family's 1533-position model. The record is from RNAcentral.
GACGAACGCUGGCGGCGUGCCUAAUACAUGCAAGUCGUGCGGACCUUUUAAAAGCUUGCUUUUAAAAGGUUAGCGGCGGACGGGUGAGUAACACGUGGGCAACCUGCCUGUAAGACUGGGAUAACGCCGGGAAACCGGGGCUAAUACCAGAUCGUUUUUUCCUCCGCAUGGAGGAAAAAGGAAAGGCGGCUUCGGCUGCCACUUACAGAUGGGCCCGCGGCGCAUUAGCUAGUUGGCGGGGUAACGGCCCACCAAGGCAACGAUGCGUAGCCGACCUGAGAGGGUGAUCGGCCACAUUGGGACUGAGACACGGCCCAAACUCCUACGGGAGGCAGCAGUAGGGAAUCUUCCGCAAUAGACGAAAGUCUGACGGAGCAACGCCGCGUGAGUGAAGAAGGCCUUCGGGUCGUAAAACUCUGUUGCCGGGGAAGAACAAGUGCCGUUCGAACAGGGCGGCGCCUUGACGGUACCCGGCCAGAAAGCCACGGCUAACUACGUG